This 441-nucleotide ribosomal RNA is filed under the name Triticum aestivum (bread wheat). RNAcentral describes it as "partial small subunit ribosomal RNA". The record is from RNAcentral. Lineage: Eukaryota; Viridiplantae; Streptophyta; Magnoliopsida; Poales; Poaceae.
AUGACGGGACAAGGCGACGAUCUGUGGCCCGGCACUUCGUGUCCUCAGUCCAUGCACGUGGAUUUAUUGCGGCGUCCGCGGGUCGGUUGCCAUUCUCGAGACAGUUACUGUGUGUGGUCCAUCUUCUUCCUUCUCUCUUGUUGUUGCAACUAUCGUGCACCGCGCCAUUCUUUCUUCUUGGGCGAGACUUUGCCGCCAAUCUUUCUCCUCGGCUUCUUUCUUGUGCCCAGCAUCGUAGAUGGUGCUGCCGUCGGGCUCGUGGAUGGGUUCCACCGUCAGCCAGGUGGACAUACAGUACAUGCGCAACACGCGGCGGCUGCCGCCGGAGACGACGGUGGCCAUGCACUUGCCGGGGGGCGAGCAGGAGCCGUGCCUAGAGGAGACCAAGCACGUGGCUUUCUUCACGCACUUCAAACACGGGUUUGGCCUCCCCGCGAGUGA